RNAcentral lists this ribosomal RNA (312 nucleotides) under Candidatus Coproplasma stercorigallinarum. RNAcentral describes it as "bacterial SSU rRNA". It matches the Rfam family "Bacterial small subunit ribosomal RNA", at positions 1 to 328 of the family's 1533-position model. The record is from RNAcentral. Lineage: Bacteria; Bacillati; Bacillota; Clostridia; Eubacteriales.
CAACUCAAGAGUUUGAUUCUGGCUCAGGAUGAACGCUGGCGGCGUGCUUAACACAUGCAAGUCGAAUGUAGUUUACUACAUGGCGGACGGGUGAGUAACGCGUGAGCAAUCUGCCCAUAUCUGGGGGAUAACAGUUGGAAACGACUGAUAAUACCGCAUAAUAUUGUUUGAAGGCAUCUUCUUACAAUCAAAGAUUUAUCGGAUAUGGAUGAGCUCGCGUCUGAUUAGCUUGUUGGUGAGGUAACGGCCCACCAAGGCGACGAUCAGUAGCCGACCUGAGAGGGUGAUCGGCCACAUUGGAACUGAGACACG